This 775-nucleotide ribosomal RNA is filed under the name uncultured Neocallimastigales. RNAcentral describes it as "partial large subunit ribosomal RNA". It matches the Rfam family "Eukaryotic large subunit ribosomal RNA", at positions 23 to 616 of the family's 3401-position model. The record is from RNAcentral. Lineage: Eukaryota; Fungi; Neocallimastigomycota; Neocallimastigomycetes; Neocallimastigales.
AGAGAGAGACAUGCGCGCAUAUCAAUAAGCGGAGGAAAAGAAACUAACAAGGAUUCCCCUAGUAACGGCGAGUGAAGCGGGAAGAGCUCAAAUUUGAAAUCUUAAAGGGUUUCCCUUUACGAAUUGUAGUUUAAAGAAGUGUUUUCUGUUGAGGUUUUGGUAAAAGUUCUUUGGAAUAGGACAUCAUAGAGGGUGAGAAUCCCGUAUUUGACCUUUACUUUCAACUUUGUGAUACACUUUCAAAGAGUCGGAUUGUUUGGGAAUGCAGUCCAAAAUGGGUGGUAAAUUUCAUCUAAAGCUAAAUAUUGGCGAGAGACCGAUAGCGAACAAGUACCGUGAGGGAAAGAUGAAAAGAACUUUGAAAAGAGAGUUAAACAGUACGUGAAAUUGUCAAAAGGGAAGCGUUUGACACCAGUGUUGUUUUUCUGAAAAUCAAUUAAAGAACUGUUUAUGCUAAGUUGUUUAGACUUUAUCAGCUAACUGUAUAGUUUUGAGCUUUUCUUUAAUGCACUUUUCAGUUAACAAGUCAACAUCAAUUUCUUUUGCUGUAAAAAAGCUUGAGGAAGGUGGCUUGAGAUUCGUCUUAAGUGUUUAUAGCCUCUUGCCUAUGCAGUCGGAGAGAUUGAGGUCUGCAGCGUAGAUCCUUCGGGGCUAGAUACAUUUGUGCUAAGUUAUAGCAUUUCAUAGACAACUUGUUGACUAUGAUUAGUCAUUGUAGCUUACUCGCUUAUGUUAUUUUACCUACGCUUAGGAUGUUGAGCGCAUGUCUCUCUCU